This 454-nucleotide ribosomal RNA is filed under the name Streptococcus sp. oral taxon 071. RNAcentral describes it as "bacterial SSU rRNA". It matches the Rfam family "Bacterial small subunit ribosomal RNA", at positions 28 to 467 of the family's 1533-position model. Lineage: Bacteria; Bacillati; Bacillota; Bacilli; Lactobacillales; Streptococcaceae. The record is from RNAcentral.
GACGAACGCUGGCGGCGUGCCUAAUACAUGCAAGUAGAACGCUGAAGAGAGGAGCUUGCUCUUCUUGGAUGAGUUGCGAACGGGUGAGUAACGCGUAGGUAACCUGCCUGGUAGCGGGGGAUAACUAUUGGAAACGAUAGCUAAUACCGCAUAAAAUGGAUUAUCGCGUGAUAAUCCAUUGAAAGGUGCAAAUGCAUCACUACCAGAUGGACCUGCGUUGUAUUAGCUAGUUGGUGGGGUAACGGCUCACCAAGGCGACGAUACAUAGCCGACCUGAGAGGGUGAUCGGCCACACUGGGACUGAGACACGGCCCAGACUCCUACGGGAGGCAGCAGUAGGGAAUCUUCGGCAAUGGACGGAAGUCUGACCGAGCAACGCCGCGUGAGUGAAGAAGGUUUUCGGAUCGUAAAGCUCUGUUGUAAGAGAAGAACGAGUGUGAGAGGGAAAGUUCAC